Molecule: ribosomal RNA, 465 nt
Filed under: Vreelandella stevensii
Lineage: Bacteria; Pseudomonadati; Pseudomonadota; Gammaproteobacteria; Oceanospirillales; Halomonadaceae
Description: partial 16S ribosomal RNA
Rfam family: Bacterial small subunit ribosomal RNA
Source: RNAcentral
CCUACGGGGGGCUGCAGUGGGGAAUAUUGGACAAUGGGCGAAAGCCUGAUCCAGCCAUGCCGCGUGUGUGAAGAAGGCCUUCGGGUUGUAAAGCACUUUCAGUGGGGAAGAAAGCCUUGGGGCUAAUACCCUCGAGGAAGGACAUCACCCACAGAAGAAGCACCGGCUAACUCCGUGCCAGCAGCCGCGGUAAUACGGAGGGUGCGAGCGUUAAUCGGAAUUACUGGGCGUAAAGCGCGCGUAGGCGGUCUGAUAAGCCGGUUGUGAAAGCCCCGGGCUCAACCUGGGAACGGCAUCCGGAACUGUCAGGCUAGAGUGCGGGAGAGGAAGGUAGAAUUCCCGGUGUAGCGGUGAAAUGCGUAGAGAUCGGGAGGAAUACCAGUGGCGAAGGCGGCCUUCUGGACUGACACUGACGCUGAGGUGCGAAAGCGUGGGUAGCAAACAGGAUUAGAUACCCUAGUAGUC